Molecule: long non-coding RNA, 768 nt
Organism: Ipomoea nil (Japanese morning glory)
Lineage: Eukaryota; Viridiplantae; Streptophyta; Magnoliopsida; Solanales; Convolvulaceae
Exons: 4
Source: RefSeq, a predicted model, not a curated record
GAAAGCCAAGAAGCACAGCAAACAAAUUAGGGCAGCAACUCACAGCUAAAGCGAAAUUCGAAACGAGAAGCACAAGCGGAGAAGCACAACUGAAUUUGGUCUCUGCCGAUUACCGAAAGGAAAGCCAACGGAGAAGCAUUGCGUCUGGUUAAAUGAACAUGAACCAUGGCUGUAUAGAGGAUGUAUUUAAGAAAAUAGUGUAUAAAGAAGAUAUGGCAUUCACUGCGCAAUUGAUGAUUUAGGUGGCUUGGAAGUGAAGGAGUUCAUGAAGCUUUUCAAUUCACAUGCUAGACAACAGAUUUAAAGAAAGCAUUGGUUGAAGAAAUGAUCUCAUGAUGAUGAUGAGGAUCGCCUUGAAAACUGUAUUUUCCCAAGAGUUGAUGAUCUGUAGGUUCUUGCUUGACAUGGUCUGCAAUUUUUGAUCUCUCAUAGUUGAUUUGGCUGCAACUCCCAUCAAAUGAUGAGGACCCACUGACCUCACUUCCCCCAAAUAUCAGCAAAUUAUGAUUACCCUUAUUCAUAGCUGCUGGGUGGUGAUGAUAUUGUUGCAUUAGUGCAGGGGGUUCAGCAAGGCCUGCUGGUCUUGAUAGCUCAUUUGAAAGUUGAAACAAGGAUAGAGAGACUUGUUACAGUGAUCAUACCCGAACUCUGGAUUAGCAAAAGCGCAUUAAGAAAAUUUAAUUCCUAUCUUGUCAGAUUAGUACUCUUUAUCCAACUCUUUUCUCCCAAGUUGGUCAUGAUAGACAAUCAACUUUAGUCAGUGGUUUA